GUAGGGUCCAAGCGUUAAUCGGGAAUUACUGGGGCGUAAAGCGUGCGCAGGCGGUUGUGCAAGGCCGAUGUGAAAUCCCCGGGGCUUAACCUGGGGAAUUGCAUUGGUGACUGCACGGCUAGAGUGUGUCAGAGGGGGGUAGAAUUCCACGUGUAGCAGUGAAAUGCGUAGAGAUGUGGAGGAAUACCGAUGGCGAAGGCAGCCCCCUGGGAUAACACUGACGCUCAUGCACGAAAGCGUGGGGAGCAAACAGGAUUAGAUACCCUGGUAGUCCACGCCCUAAACGAUGUCAACUAGUUGUUGGGGAUUCAUUUCCUUAGUAACGUAGCUAACGCGUGAAGUUGACCGCCUGGGGAGUACGGUCGCAAAGAUUAA
Molecule: ribosomal RNA, 375 nt
Filed under: uncultured organism
Description: partial 16S ribosomal RNA
Rfam family: Bacterial small subunit ribosomal RNA
Source: RNAcentral